Molecule: ribosomal RNA, 497 nt
Filed under: uncultured bacterium
Lineage: Bacteria
Description: partial 16S ribosomal RNA
Rfam family: Bacterial small subunit ribosomal RNA
Source: RNAcentral
AUUGAACGCUGGCGGCGUGCCUAAUACAUGCAAGUCGAGCGAAUGGACGAGAAGCUUGCUUGUCUUAUGUUAGCGGCGGACGGGUGAGUAACACGUGGAUAACCGACCUUUAAGACUGGGAUAACUUCGGGAAACCUGAUCUAACACCGGUCGAUAUUUUGAACCGCAUGGUUCAUCAGACAAAAACGGUCUUGCUGUCCCUUAUACAUGUAUCCUCGCUGCAUUAGCUAGUUGGUAAGGUAACGGCCUACCAAGGCUAGGAUGCAUAGCCGACCUGAGAGGAUGAUCAGCCACACUGGUACUGAGACACGGUCCAGACUCCUACGGGAGGCAGCAGUAGGGAAUCUUGCACAAUGGGCGAAAGCCUGACGCAGCAACGCCGCGUGAGUGAAGAAGGUCUUCGGAUCGUAAAACACUGUUAUUUGGGAAGAAGAUAUGUGUGAUAAUAACUGCACAUGUUGACGGUACCAACAGAGAAAGCAACGGCUAACUUCGUG